GAUGAAGAACGUAGCGAAAUGCGAUAAGUAAUGUGAAUUGCAGAAUUCAGUGAAUCAUCGAAUCUUUGAACGCACCUUGCGCUCCUUGGUAUUCCUUGGAGCAUGCCUGUUUGAGUAUCAUGAGCAAAUCUCAAAGUCGAUCCUUUUGUUAAUUCAAUUGGUUUGCUUUGGACUUGGAGGCCUUGCAGAUUUCACCGUCUGCUCCUCUUAAAUGCAUUAGCUGGAUCUCAGUAUUAUGCUUGGUUCCACUCGGCGUGAUAAGUAUCACUCGCUGAGGACACUGUAAAAGGUGGCCAGGAAAAUACUGAUCGAACCGCUUCUAACGGUCUAUUAACUUAGACAAUGACCCUUAAGUUUGAUCUCAAAUCAGGUAGGACUACCCGCUGAACUUAAGCAUAUCAAUAGCGGAGGA
This 412-nucleotide unclassified non-coding RNA is filed under the name soil metagenome. Its description in RNAcentral is "partial contains 5.8S ribosomal RNA, internal transcribed spacer 2, and large subunit ribosomal RNA". The stretch from base 1 to 120 matches the Rfam family "5.8S ribosomal RNA", at positions 35 to 154 of the family's 154-position model. The record is from RNAcentral.